ACAUGGCGGCGGCUUCUCUCGCAGCGGCCUCAGGGGCAAUUUAAAAGGUCCGCGCUGCGUUUAUGAGCUGUAACACGCACCACCGAGAAGGUCUGCAGCUUCACUGCAGAAGCCAGUGAGACCACAAACCUACCGAAAGUAAGAAACUCUGGACACAUGUGAACAUCUGAGGGAACAAACUCCGGACACACCAUCUUUCAGAACUGUAACACUCACCGCGAGCGUCGGCGGCUUGGUUCUUGAAGUCAGCGAGACCAAGAACCCACCAAUUCCGAACACUCUAUGGGACCAUCUAGUUGCAGGAAAACAAGCUCAGGGUUCCCACUGAUUCUACACUAUGCCCUCUGAUGAAGUACCUCAAAAGCUAAGCUCCCAUCAAUCCUGGAGAGAUAGAAUCAGCAGAGCAUAGUGGCAGAAUGAAUGGUUUAAAAGGAACAGCAGCGACCAAAGAACUUUUUAUGCAGAGAAACCCCAAAUCUGGGGCAAAGCCCUCCUGUUCAUUUUAUCUCACACAAGGGCAUUGUUGAUCCAGAUGAAUGUAUUCACUUUGAAACGAGACCAUAGUCGCCGCUAGAGACAAAACUACAUACACUGACCCAGAUACGGUUCUUCCCCAGACCAAGUGACCCCAGCUGCAGCCGGAGUGCUCACAGUAAACUGAAAUUACAUGAAUGACACCCAGGGAAAGACGCUUGUAUUAUAAAGAGGCUACAUUUCUAUUUGGUUUACUGAUGUAUUAAUUUUUCAAAGUUUGGAAUCUCUUCAAAUACAAGGUAAAUGCAUUUUCUAAGAAUUUGGCCCAGUGGCACUCGUCUGGAUGUGAUAACCUGUUUUUCCUGUAUCAUGAUUUAACUUAAAC
Molecule: long non-coding RNA, 859 nt
Organism: Homo sapiens (human)
Lineage: Eukaryota; Metazoa; Chordata; Mammalia; Primates; Hominidae
Product: long intergenic non-protein coding RNA 2240
Source: Ensembl